RNAcentral lists this non-coding RNA (127 nucleotides) under Arachnia propionica. Lineage: Bacteria; Bacillati; Actinomycetota; Actinomycetes; Propionibacteriales; Propionibacteriaceae. The record is from RNAcentral.
CUCGUUCCGGUAGUGUGAGGUCCGAAGCGUGGGUUAGUCACGAGGAACCCGGUGAAAAUCCGGGACGGUCGCGCCACUGUGAGCCAAUCCAGGCAAGUCAGGAACUCGUCCCACGCCCCGUCGCGGA